RNAcentral lists this ribosomal RNA (846 nucleotides) under Triticum aestivum (bread wheat). Its description in RNAcentral is "partial small subunit ribosomal RNA". The record is from RNAcentral. Lineage: Eukaryota; Viridiplantae; Streptophyta; Magnoliopsida; Poales; Poaceae.
AUGGGGGAGGAGGCCGGCGGCUACGAUUUUGACUUCGGGGGAGGCGGGGGAGGAUAUGGCGGGUACGACGGGCGGGUGACGGAGUGGGAGACGGGGCUGCCGGGGUGCGACGAGCUGACCCCGCUCUCGCAGCCGCUGGUGCCGCCGGGGCUCGCCGCGGCGUUCCGCAUCCCGCCGGAGCCGGGGCGCACGCUCCUCGACGUGCACCACGCGUCCUCCGCCACCGUGUCCCGCCUCCGCUCCGCCUCCUCCGGCAACGGCCACGCCGGCACCGGCGCCAACGGCGCAUCCUUCCCCUCCUUCCCCGGCAAGGGGGCGGCGGCUGGGGAUGACAGCGGCAACCGGGACAACAACUCUGCCGAGUCGGCCGGGGAGAAGUCGGCGGCGGCGAAGCGGGCGCGGCUGGUGUGGACGCCGCAGCUGCACAAGCGGUUCGUGGAGGUGGUGGCGCACCUGGGCAUCAAGAGCGCCGUGCCCAAGACCAUCAUGCAGCUGAUGAACGUGGAGGGGCUCACCCGCGAGAACGUCGCCAGCCACCUCCAGAAGUACCGCCUCUACGUCAAGCGGAUGCAGGGCCUCUCCAACGAGGGGCCCUCCGCCUCCGACCACAUCUUCGCCUCCACGCCCGUGCCGCCCAGCCUGCGCGAGCCCCAGGUGCCCCACGCCGCCGCCAUGGCCCCCGCCAUGUACCACCACCACCCCGCGCCCAUGGGCGGGGUCGCCGCCGGCCACGGCGGCUACUACCAGCAGCAGCACAGCGGCCACGCCGUCUACAACGGGUAUGGCGGACACGGCCACGGCGGCGGCGUCUCCUCCUACCCGCACUACCACCACGGCGACCAGUAG